Molecule: non-coding RNA, 81 nt
Filed under: Gracilibacillus boraciitolerans
Lineage: Bacteria; Bacillati; Bacillota; Bacilli; Caryophanales; Bacillaceae
Also listed under: 1 other name
Description: c-di-GMP-II sequence
Rfam family: Cyclic di-GMP-II riboswitch aptamer
Source: RNAcentral
GAAUAAAACAGAUACGAGGAUUAUUUACCUUGAGUUGGGCACUUUGGUAAAUAGGAGUUAGUAGUGCAACCGGCUUUCAUC